This 172-nucleotide ribosomal RNA is filed under the name Caloplaca sp. HX-2010a. Its description in RNAcentral is "partial 18S ribosomal RNA". The record is from RNAcentral. Lineage: Eukaryota; Fungi; Ascomycota; Lecanoromycetes; Teloschistales; Teloschistaceae.
GGCGACGCUACCAAUCUGCGCUGGGAGUGCCCGAACGCGGGCGUGACCAGCAGCUCCUCUGGAGUCCACAGGUCAAACGGUUGCGGCCACCCCCGGGGUGGUUUUGAUAUGAUCGGCCCCAGCCGUCGUACCACGGCUGGCGAAGUUUGCGGAACCUGCGGAAGGAUCAUUA